RNAcentral lists this ribosomal RNA (465 nucleotides) under uncultured bacterium. RNAcentral's name for it is "partial 16S ribosomal RNA". It matches the Rfam family "Bacterial small subunit ribosomal RNA", at positions 28 to 507 of the family's 1533-position model. The record is from RNAcentral.
GACGAACGCUGGCGGCGUGCUUAACACAUGCAAGUCGAACGGAAAGGCCCCUUUGGGGGUACUCGAGUGGCGAACGGGUGAGUAACACGUGAGUAACCUGCCCUUGACUUCGGGAUAACUUCAGGAAACUGGGGCUAAUACCGGAUAGGAAUCCUUGCUGCAUGGUGGGGGUUGGAAAGCUUCGGCGGUUUUGGAUGGACUCGCGGCUUAUCAGCUUGUUGGUGGGGUAGUGGCAUACCAAGGCUUUGACGGGUAGCCGGCCUGAGAGGGCGACCGGCCACAUUGGGACUGAGAUACGGCCCAGACUCCUACGGGAGGCAGCAGUGGGGAAUAUUGCACAAUGGGCGGAAGCCUGAUGCAGCAACGCCGCGUGCGGGAUGACGGCCUUCGGGUUGUAAACCGCUUUCAGCAGGGGCGAAGCUUGUGGUGACGGUACCUGCAGAAGAAGCACCGGCUAACUACGUG